ACAUCCAGAGAAUUUAGCAGAGAUGCUUUAGUGCCUUCGGGAACUCUGAGACAGGUGCUGCAUGGCUGUCGUCAGCUCGUGUUGUGAAAUUGUUGGGUUAAGUCCCCGNAACGAGCGCAACCCUUUAUCCUUUGUUGCCAGCACGUAAUGGUGGGAACUCAAAGGAGACUGCCGGUGAUAAACCGGAGGAAGGUGGGGAUGACGUCAAGUCAUCAUGGCCCUUACGAGUAGGGCUACACACGUGCUACAAUGGCGCAUACAAAGAGAAGCGACCUCGCGAGAGCAAGCGGACCUCAUAAAGUGCGUCGUAGUCCGGAUUGGAGUCUGCAACUCGACUCCAUGAAGUCGGAAUCGCUAGUAAUCGUAAAUCAGAAUGUUACGGUGAAUACGUUCCCGGGCCUUGUACACACCGCCCGUCACACCAUGGGAGUGGGUUGCAAAAGAAGUAGAUAGCUUAACCUUCGGGAGGGCGUUUACCACUUUGUGAUUCAUGACUGGGGUGAAGUCGUAACAAGGUAGGCGUAGUGCU
Molecule: ribosomal RNA, 529 nt
Filed under: uncultured bacterium
Lineage: Bacteria
Description: bacterial SSU rRNA
Rfam family: Bacterial small subunit ribosomal RNA
Source: RNAcentral